GUGACAGGGACAGGCCCCCUGGGUGCGCGGAGGCCCUCAGCCAUGGUGUGUGUUUUGGGGGGGUACGGGGUCAGCACCGGGGCAGUGUGUCCUGUGCUGAUCUGACCCACGCACCCGGCCACCCCACGGGACAGAGACAGGUCGGGGCAGGGGGGAAGUGAGACUGUUCCUGGAAGGGUCGCCCCUUUCCUAGCACUGUCCUCCAGAGCCUCCUGUGCCCUCGGCCCCCUGGACCACCCCGGGGCCCCGGAGCUGUGCGGGAAGCCUCCACCCUCAGAAGCAGGCCGUCCAGCCUGCCUAGCCCGGGAAGCCAGGUCAGCUGGGUGGCUCAGGGCCAUGGACACAGUCCCAGGUGGGAGGAGGGACCCCUCGGGUGCCCUGCUGGGAUGACGAUUUUAAGUAAUCUGCAGUAUUGUCGGGUCUUGGACAGAGGCCAGCUUCCCGGUCGGCAGACCUGGUUCAAAUCCUGCCAUGUGAAAAAAAAAAACAAAAAACAAAUCCUGCCGUGUGGCCCUGGGCAAACUACCGAAGCUCUCUGCGCUCCUCGUCCCCAGGCAGGGGGACCCAGGGUGCUAAUGCUGAAAAUGCAGCAGGUACAGGUGCAGGCAGGAGCCAGGUCUCUUCCUCCCCGUCUCUCUCCUGCCCCCUGUCCCUGUGGCCUCCAGACCAAGCAGCCUGGCAGUCCUCUCAGGGUGCCUGGGGCUGGCAGGGCGGUGGCCCAGCAGACCACCAAGCCCAAGGUGGGGUCCGCACGGCUCGGGGUAAACAGAGGACGGCUGAGGUGGCCGCAGGUGGCUUCUGCACCUGCCAGGUGAGCGGAGAGGCCCGUCCAGUGGUGCCCGGCAGCUGGGAGCAAUGCCAUGCGGCCCAGCAGGGCUGGCUCCGUUCUCACUGCCUCCCCCUCAAUCAUAGCCUGGCCCCUCCAGCUGCACUUGGUCACAUCUCGGCAGCACAGAGGUGACGGGUGGGCUGGACGCAGGGCCAGAUGAAUCCCAGGCCGCUGCCCCAGUUCCCGGCCCGGCAGCGCCUCCCGGUGUCCUGGGUGCUCGGUAGCUGGACUCCCUGCAUCACCCCCACGCCUCCCAGGCCUCUCUCCAGGGGAGGGCCUGGCGUCAGGGUUUCCGCCAGGGACCCCGAGAACCCCUGCACUGUCACAUCUUUUGGAAGGUGCUGAAGGCUGGGCCAAGGAACCUGUGGAGCAGCGGACGGAGGUCCUGCUGAGGACCUGACCGCCUCCCUCCUGGGACGGCGGAUCUGAGAGGAGGCCUGCUCGGCCAGAGCAUUCGUGCCCCUCACAACCCCAACAGGACAGGGCCUGUCCAGCCCAGAGUCCUAAGAUGAGAGGGAGGAGGCUGUGCCUCUUUCCAGGUUGGGGGAGUCCCAGGGCAAGGUCUUCAGCACCAGCCACCCUCUGCCACGAGUGGACCAGUGAGACCACGAUCACAUCGUCAAAAGGAGAGCUCCAAACAGGGGCAGGUGGCCCUGCUCCCUCACCCCGGCCCCUGGGCACCCCCUCCGGCCUCCCCUCAUGGCCUCCCCACCCCCACAGUUGGAGGUCUCUGGGCACCCAGUCAGGCCCCCUACUUCCCGCACCUCUCUUGUGAGGGCUUCCAGUCCUCAAUUGGAAGCACCCAGAAGACCCCGUUAGGCCCAGGUCACCCAGCAAAAGAUCUGGAGUGGGAGGGAGGCGGGGUGGCAUGAACCCUUCCAAAGCACCCUCACGCCUGCUGCGGCUCCACCUGGGCACCGGGGCUGUGCAGCCCCUAAAUUGCAUGGGGGAUUCCUGACUAAUGGCUUUUCAGGGGUCCUUGUGCACCCGGGCCCCCGACUCCCAGCUGGCAUGAUUAGCAGUGAGUUCAAUGGCAGGAAAAUUAUUAAUUUCCAUCCCCAAGUUUACUUCUGGGGAAGUUUGCCAAUUAACUCAGCAAACCGAGGCACCCGGAGUAGGUAGGGAGAGGCAGGCAGAGACCCAGGACAGUCCUGGCGAGGGCCGUGGGGGGAAGCAGGUAUAGACUCCAUGAUCCUCAGGAGCUUGGAGGGCCACAGAGGAAUUAGGAGGCCGCCCCCAGCCCCUACCCACCCAUGGCCACUGGCAAAUGGCAGGAGGGGCAAGUCUGCCUUGGUCCUGGUCUUCUGGGCCGUUGCUGCUAGACUGUGAGUGUGUGUGUGUUGGGGGCCAGACAUGGUAGGUUGGGCUGGGAGCCCUAGCUCUCACAGUGUACACGUGUGAACAGCAAAGCUGAUACUUCAGCACCACGUCUGAAUGCAGGAGCUGGUGGCCUUGGAUCCUGUGACAACCAGGGCCCGAGUGUGUUUCAGGUUUUCAGAUGUCCUGCUGGACGGUCCCC
Molecule: long non-coding RNA, 2348 nt
Filed under: Canis lupus familiaris (dog)
Lineage: Eukaryota; Metazoa; Chordata; Mammalia; Carnivora; Canidae
Description: lncRNA (ENSCAFG00000053662.1)
Source: RNAcentral